Molecule: long non-coding RNA, 745 nt
Filed under: Pan paniscus (pygmy chimpanzee)
Lineage: Eukaryota; Metazoa; Chordata; Mammalia; Primates; Hominidae
Description: lncRNA (ENSPPAG00000044665.1)
Source: RNAcentral
AAAAGAACCUAUAUCCAAAGAGCUGGGUUCUCCUUUCGGAUGUGAUGUUGAACAGUUUCUCUGUGUGCUUCAUCUCCACCUCCCUCCCAGCUUUUAUGUCCCUUCUACUUCGUCUUCAAACUCGAGUUCAAAUCUCCUUCCCUCUGAAAACCCCCUCUCGACUGUGCUACCCAUUGUAAAGACCGACUCUUCAGUGAAGACACAGAAUCAGCAUUUGGGAGAUGCGGAGACCAGGGACGACUCCUUCCUCCUGGGAGAGCUGGGAUUCCAGUCCUGGGAGUGAUUCUGGGUCAUCAGGCCGGAGAAUCACACUCUCUGCUAUCAGCAUCCAACCUACUCGAGUCCUGACCCCACACUGCCAGGAGAGUCCAGCAAGCCCUGAGGGCCUGAGCACAGCCAGGCUGGACACUGGAGGCAGCCCCGGGAGAUGGUGAACCCCCAUACAUUCACAAUGCCCCUUCUAACAUAUUUUCACCAUAUUCUAAACCAUUGCUACUUAAGAGUGCAAUCCAAGGACCACAGGCCAUUGGCAUGCCUGUGAGCCCAUCACCUCUGCAAGGCUCAUGCCCCAUCUGGUCCCACUGAGUCUGAAUGUGAAUUUCAAAAGUUCCUGCAUGAUUUGUGUGCACAUUAAAGUGAGAAACAUUGUUGUAAACAACUGCUGCAUACCAUGAAAAGACUGUUGGAAAUGUGCUCAGAGAAGAGCCCUCCUCAUCCUCUCCCUAACUGUACCAUAACACAGAGC